CCGGUGAAGUGUUCGGAUUGCGGCGACGUGGGCGGUUCGCUGCUCGCGACGUUGUGAGAAAUCCACUGAACCUUAUCAUUUAGAGGAAGGAGAAGUCGUAACAAGGUUUCCGUAGGUGAACCUGCGGAAGGAUCAUUG
Molecule: ribosomal RNA, 138 nt
Filed under: Astragalus barbatus
Lineage: Eukaryota; Viridiplantae; Streptophyta; Magnoliopsida; Fabales; Fabaceae
Description: partial 18S ribosomal RNA
Rfam family: Eukaryotic small subunit ribosomal RNA
Source: RNAcentral